RNAcentral lists this transfer RNA (78 nucleotides) under Nitrososphaerales archaeon. RNAcentral's name for it is "tRNA-Gly". It matches the Rfam family "tRNA". Rfam says of the family: Transfer RNA (tRNA) molecules are approximately 80 nucleotides in length. Their secondary structure includes four short double-helical elements and three loops (D, anti-codon, and T loops). Lineage: Archaea; Thermoproteati; Nitrososphaerota; Nitrososphaeria; Nitrososphaerales. The record is from RNAcentral.
GCGGUCGUCGUCCAGUCUGGCCUAGGACAUCAGCCUUCCAAGCUGACGACCCGGGUUCAAAUCCCGGCGACCGCACCA